RNAcentral lists this transfer RNA (72 nucleotides) under Bacteroidales bacterium. RNAcentral describes it as "tRNA-Phe". It matches the Rfam family "tRNA". Rfam says of the family: Transfer RNA (tRNA) molecules are approximately 80 nucleotides in length. RNAcentral also lists the same sequence under 2 other names. The record is from RNAcentral. Lineage: Bacteria; Pseudomonadati; Bacteroidota; Bacteroidia; Bacteroidales.
GGUACCUUAGCUCAGUGGUAGAGCAGUGGACUGAAAAUCCGCGUGUCCCUGGUUCGAUCCCCGGAGGUACCA